GGUUACUGGUUGCAUCACUGUAGAAUAGUGAUGACGGACAAUGAUAUCAGUGUUUACCUUUUUAGACACAAGAUUUCCACUGCUUCCACAUGGUAAAUAUCCCUUGCUUUCCAAUCUUGUAGAGACACCUGUAUGUCCUUCCUGGCUUAAAGAGUUAAUACAAGGAGUGUCAGUUUUUGUAUUUAUUAGAUUCUGGGAAUUUUUAUUUCUCAAACUAUAUUUAGUAAAAAAAUAAUGAAAGGUGAAAUAGAUAGAUCAUGCCCUUGCAGUAUUACUGCACAUUUCUCUGCCAUUUAGGAGUUAAAUCACUUUUGUUUCUGUUUACGCAGCCCUAGUCACACCUCCCCUCACUGUGACUCACACAGUCAGCAUGAAAAUAUGGUUUCAUUUUCAAUCAGAUGUUAACUUGCUUUUUAAAAGUUUCCAUCUCC
This is a non-coding RNA of Pelobates cultripes (western spadefoot toad), 431 nucleotides long. The record is from the annotation of a GenBank genome assembly. NCBI's taxonomy places the organism in Eukaryota, Metazoa, Chordata, Amphibia, Anura, Pelobatidae.